RNAcentral lists this long non-coding RNA (815 nucleotides) under Mytilus galloprovincialis (Mediterranean mussel). Lineage: Eukaryota; Metazoa; Mollusca; Bivalvia; Mytilida; Mytilidae. The record is from RNAcentral.
GUUGGAUUCAACCGGUUAAACUAUUGAGUGUCAGUGACCCCCGUGAUCGGACAGAACAGAUUUAUACCCUCUUUAAGUUGGGAAAUUACCAAUCUAAUAUAGUGCAAUCGAACGUGCAUGAUCAUGAUGUCCAGUUCGAAUUGUAAUUUAGCCGAUUUGGUUCUAUUCUCAAUCUUAAUUUGUAUAAUUAAUUCAAAUUUACGAAGGACGGACAAAUAGAUUAAUAUUGUUAUAAAGCACUUAGUCGUUGUUGUACUAUAAGAUUGUCGGAUCUAAUGGAUUAAAUGAACUAUCAUAGCCCUAUUCACAAAAAGAAAAGUGGUUUAUCAUAUUAGUUAUUGACCCAGCAAAUGUCUUUUCGGUAAAAUUUCCCUCAAGAUCAUAUUACGUUUCAUGAUACCUGACCACCGUUAGUAUGUAUAAAAAAGAAGAUGUGCUAAGACUGUCAAUGAGACAACUCUCCACAAGAGACCAAAUGACACAGAAAUUUACAACUAUAGGUCACAGUACUACCUUCAACGAUGAGCAAAGUCCACACAUCAUAGUCAACUAUAAAAGGUCCCAAAAUGAAAAAUGUAAAAAAAACUCAAACGAGAAAACUUACGGCCUAAUUUAUGUAUACUAAAAAUGAACGAAAAAAAUGGUAAUAAAUCAACAAACGACAACCACUGAAUUACAGACCCGGCGCUGACUUGGGACAGACACAUACAUACAGCAUGUGGCGGGGUUAAACAUUUAAGCGGGACCCCAACCAUCACCCUAAUCUGGAACAUUUGUAAAAGUUGAAAAUCGAAUGUUGAACACGAAUAUUUAAU